Molecule: ribosomal RNA, 251 nt
Filed under: uncultured prokaryote
Description: partial 16S rRNA
Rfam family: Bacterial small subunit ribosomal RNA
Source: RNAcentral
ACGGAGGGUGCAAGCGUUAAUCGGAAUUACUGGGCGUAAAGCGCGCGCAGGCGGCUUUGUAAGAUCGAUGUGAAAUCCCAUGGCUCAACCAUGGAACUGCAUCCAAAACUACUUGGCUAGAGUCUGGGAGAGGAGGGUGGAAUUCCACGUGUAGCGGUGAAAUGCGUAGAGAUCUGGAGGAAUACCGAUGGCGAAGGCGGCCCCCUGGAAUAGCACUGACGCUGAUGCGCGAAAGCGUGGGGAGCAAACAG